Falco peregrinus (peregrine falcon) is the source of this 755-nucleotide long non-coding RNA. RefSeq lists it as uncharacterized. The transcript is spliced from 3 exons. NCBI's taxonomy places the organism in Eukaryota, Metazoa, Chordata, Aves, Falconiformes, Falconidae. The record is from RefSeq and is a predicted model, not a curated record.
CUGCCCUGCAGCCCCGCCGGCCCCAGGGGAUCGCCUGCUCGCCCCCCGAGCGGAGCGCCGGCGCGGGGUUGAAGCCCCUGGUUCCCCACGCUGCCUGCCCGCAGGGACGGCGCGGGCCCUGGCGGGGUGACCCCCAGUGAGGGUCCCCUCCGUGCUGGCGGUGCCGUUCAUCAGCUCCCUCCGUGUCUCCGAGCUAGCUCCUGCCGGCCGCUGGGCUGACUUUCCAAGCUGAACUGCACCUUCACUGGAUAUUCUCAGAAGUACUUCGGCUGCCCUUUAGGAUCAACAAGUAACCCAGACCAGUGGGAGAAACUUUGUUCUUCCAGAGAAUUGCUGUGUUGGAAAUACAGUCUGGGAAUGCCAUGAGAAAGCAUCACAUCAGGAAAAAAACAAGUCACCCACAUGGGAGUCAGUCUCACCAGGAGCAGAGCACAACCCUGUGUCUGUGAAAAUCUCUGCAGGAGAGCCUCGGUCCCCAGGCAGCCCAGUAACGCUACACAUCUCAGCCUCUUUGCAGUAUGGUGCCGAAGGAGUGAAACACCUGGCAGUUCAGCUGCUGCUCCGCUACAAACCUUCGUGGUAAACACAGUCUGAGCCAUUAAAGCAGCGAGAUCUGUAACAGCAAGAUUGCAAUGACACAUUAGUCAAGAGACAGAGUUAAAAACAGCUGUCCAGAAGAGAUGCCUAUUGCAGAAAUACAAUAUUGCUCCAGAUAUUAGCCUCAUGCAGAUGAAAUUUCCUGUGCCACAAAACUG